UACGUAGGGGGCGAGCGUUGUCCGGAAUCAUUGGGCGUAAAGCGCGCGUAGGCGGCCCGGUAAGUCCGCUGUAAAAGUCCAGGGCUCAACCCUGGAACGCCGGUGGAUACUGCCGGGCUAGAGUCCGGAAGAGGCGAGUGGAAUUCCUGGUGUAGCGGUGGAAUGCGCAGAUAUCAGGAGGAACACCGAUGGCGAAGGCAGCUCGCUGGGACGGUACUGACGCUGAGGCGCGAAAGCGUGGGGAGCGAACAGG
Molecule: ribosomal RNA, 253 nt
Filed under: uncultured bacterium
Lineage: Bacteria
Description: partial 16S ribosomal RNA
Rfam family: Bacterial small subunit ribosomal RNA
Source: RNAcentral